CCUACGGGCGGCAGCAGUGGGGGAUAUUGCACAAUGGGGGGAACCCUGACGCAGCGACGCCGCGUGGGUGAAGAAGCGCCUCGGCGCGUAAAGUCCUGUCAGCAGGGAAGAAAAUGCCGGUAACUGAAGAAGAAGCUCUGGCCAACUACGUGCUAGCAGCCGCGGUAAUACGGAGGGGGCAAGCGUUAGCCGGAUUUACUGGGUGUAAAGGGGGCGGAGACGGCGGUGCAAGCCAAGAGUGAAAGCCGAGGGCCCAACCCUGGGACGGCUAGUGGAACUGCGAGGCUGGAGUGCAGGAGAGGCAGGCAGAAUUCCUGGUGUAGCGGUGAAAUGCGUAGAUAUCAGGAGGAACACCGUUGGCGAAGGCGGCAAGCUGGACUGCAACUGACGUUGAGGCCCGAAAGCGUGGGGAGCAAACAGGAUUAGAUACCCUUGUAGUC
This 440-nucleotide ribosomal RNA is filed under the name uncultured bacterium. Its description in RNAcentral is "partial 16S ribosomal RNA". It matches the Rfam family "Bacterial small subunit ribosomal RNA", at positions 338 to 795 of the family's 1533-position model. The record is from RNAcentral.